UACGUAGGGUGCGAGCGUUAAUCGGAAUUACUGGGCGUAAAGCGUGCGCAGGCGGGCUUUUAAGGCAGACGUGAAAUCCCCGGGCUUAACCUGGGAAUGGCGUUUGGGACUGGGAGUCUGGAGUGCGGCAGAGGAGACUGGAAUUCCUGGUGUAGCAGUGAAAUGCGUAGAUAUCAGGAGGAACACCGAUGGCGAAGGCAGGUCUCUGGGCUGACACUGACGCUCAUGCACGAAAGCGUGGGGAGCAAACAGG
This 253-nucleotide ribosomal RNA is filed under the name uncultured bacterium. Its description in RNAcentral is "partial 16S ribosomal RNA". It matches the Rfam family "Bacterial small subunit ribosomal RNA", at positions 524 to 776 of the family's 1533-position model. The record is from RNAcentral.